Molecule: long non-coding RNA, 463 nt
Filed under: Homo sapiens (human)
Lineage: Eukaryota; Metazoa; Chordata; Mammalia; Primates; Hominidae
Description: non-protein coding lnc-IFT74-8:1
Source: RNAcentral
AAAAAAAAGAAAAAAGAAAAAGCCAACUCUAUGCUGCCUAUAAAGGAUUUACCUUAGCUUCAAAAACAGUAAUGGGCUGAAAGUGAAAGGAUGGAAAUAUACAUUUCAUACAAACAUCGUCCAGACAAAAAGUCAGAAAAAGAAACAUUAGAUUUGAACUGUAAUUUAAAUCAGAUGGACCUAACAGACAAAUAUUAAAUAUUUCUUCUAACAGCAGCCACAUGCAUAUUCUUCUCAAGCACACAUGAAAUACUCUAGGAUAGGUCAUACUUUAGGCCACUAAGCAAGUCAUAACAAAUGUAGUAAGAUGAAAAUGGGGCCAUUAAAGGGACUUUGGCUUUUACUAUAAGUGACAUAAAAAACUAAUGAGGAUUUUGAGUAGGGCAGUAAAAGCUCAAAAGGAAUUCCUUUUUUCUGAGUUCACUACACGUUCUAAUAAAAAUAUUCAGUGACUAAAUAAAAG